RNAcentral lists this ribosomal RNA (561 nucleotides) under uncultured rumen archaeon. RNAcentral describes it as "bacterial SSU rRNA". It matches the Rfam family "Archaeal small subunit ribosomal RNA", at positions 122 to 687 of the family's 1478-position model. The record is from RNAcentral.
GGGGAUAUCUCGGGAAACUGAGGAUAAUACCCCAUAGACCACUACGCCUGGAACGGUGAGUGGUUGAAAGCUCCGGCGGUGUAGGAUGGGUCUGCGGCGUAUCAGGUCGUAGGGGGUGUAAUGGACCUCCUAGCCAUCGACGCGUACGGGUUGUGGGAGCAAUAGCCCGGAGACGGAUUCUGAGACACGAAUCCGGACCCUACGGGGUGCAGCAGGCGCGAAAACUUCACACUGCAGGAAACUGUGAUGAGGGAACUCCAAGUGACUGCACAAUGUGUAGCCUUUUCUUGAAUCUUAAUAGUUCUUGGAAUAAGGGCUGGGAAAGACCGGUGCCAGCCGCCGCGGUAAUACCGGCAGCUCAAGUGGUCGUCGCUUUUAUUGGGCCUAAAACGUCCGUAGCCUGUUUGGUAAAUCUGUGGGUAAAUCAACGAGCUUAACUCGUUGAAUUCUGCAGAGACUGUCAGACUANGGACCGGGAGAGGUAUGAGGUACUCUGGGGGUAGGGGUAAAAUCCUGUCAUCCUCAGAGGACCACCUGUUGCGAAGGCGUCAUACUGGAACG